Molecule: small nucleolar RNA, 133 nt
Organism: Protopterus annectens (West African lungfish)
Lineage: Eukaryota; Metazoa; Chordata; Ceratodontiformes; Protopteridae
Product: small nucleolar RNA SNORA5
Exons: 1
Source: RefSeq, a predicted model, not a curated record
UGCAGUUGUCAAAUUCAGUGGUACUUGUCUUGUGGUAUUCACUGGCCUAAACUGCUGCUACAGAGAAACUGUAGUUCAUGGGCCUCGCAUCCAUUUUUCAGGUGCUGGGGAUAAUCAUUUGCUACAGACAUUU